GUACUCGAGCGGCGAACGGGUGAGUAACACGUGAGCAACCUGCCCCAAGCUUUGGGAUAACCCCGGGAAACCGGGGCUAAUACCGAAUAUUACCUGGCCUCGCAUGAGGCUGGGUGGAAAGUUUUUCGGCUUGGGAUGGGCUCGCGGCCUAUCAGCUUGUUGGUGGGGUGAUGGCCUACCAAGGCGACGACGGGUAGCCGGCCUGAGAGGGCGACCGGCCACACUGGGACUGAGACACGGCCCAGACUCCUACGGGAGGCAGCAGUGGGGAAUAUUGCACAAUGGGCGGAAGCCUGAUGCAGCGACGCCGCGUGAGGGAUGACGGCCUUCGGGUUGUAAACCUCUUUCAGCAGGGACGAAGCGAGAGUGACGGUACCUGCAGAAGAAGCGCCGGCCAACUACGUGCCAGCAGCCGCGGUAAGACGUAGGGCGCGAGCGUUGUCCGGAUUUAUUGGGCGUAAAGAGCUCGUAGGCGGCUUGUCGCGUCGACCGUGAAAACUUGGGGCUCAACCCCAAGCCUGCGGUCGAUACGGGCAGGCUAGAGUUCGGUAGGGGAGACUGGAAUUCCUGGUGUAGCGGUGAAAUGCGCAGAUAUCAGGAGGAACACCGGUGGCGAAGGCGGGUCUCUGGGCCGAUACUGACGCUGAGGAGCGAAAGCGUGGGGAGCGAACAGGAUUAGAUACCCUGGUAGUCCACGCUGUAAACGUUG
Molecule: ribosomal RNA, 709 nt
Filed under: Micromonospora sp.
Lineage: Bacteria; Bacillati; Actinomycetota; Actinomycetes; Micromonosporales; Micromonosporaceae
Description: bacterial SSU rRNA
Rfam family: Bacterial small subunit ribosomal RNA
Source: RNAcentral